GGCGGACGGGUGAGUAACGCGUGAGGAACCUGCCUUUCAGAGGGGGACAACAGUUGGAAACGACUGCUAAUACCGCAUAACAUAUAGAUGUCGCAUGGCAUUUAUAUCAAAGAUUUAUCGCUGAAAGGUGGCCUCGCGUCUGAUUAGCUAGUUGGUGAGGUAACGGCCCACCAAGGCGACGAUCAGUAGCCGGACUGAGAGGUUGAACGGCCACAUUGGGACUGAGAUACGGCCCAGACUCCUACGGGAGGCAGCAGUGGGGAAUAUUGGGCAAUGGGCGCAAGCCUGACCCAGCAACGCCGCGUGAAGGAAGAAGGCUUUCGGGUUGUAAACUUCUUUUGUCAGGGACGAGUAGAAGACGGUACCUGACGAAUAAGCCACGGCUAACUACGUGCCAGCAGCCGCGGUAAUACGUAGGUGGCAAGCGUUGUCCGGAUUUACUGGGUGUAAAGGGCGUGUAGCCGGGAGGGCAAGUCAGAUGUGAAAUCCACGGGCUCAACUCGUGAACUGCAUUUGAAACUACUCUUCUUGAGUAUCGGAGAGG
RNAcentral lists this ribosomal RNA (544 nucleotides) under uncultured bacterium. RNAcentral describes it as "bacterial SSU rRNA". It matches the Rfam family "Bacterial small subunit ribosomal RNA", at positions 97 to 657 of the family's 1533-position model. The record is from RNAcentral.